AUGAUUCCAUCAUCUUUUGCCUCAAUGUCUUGUAGAUACACAGAGAACAGUCACCUUAAUCCUUAUGAACAGGUUGACUGUCUUGUGGAUGAUGCUGCAGCUUCUCUACGUACAAUGUUAGACACAGUGGCUCCUCUGAAGAAGAAGACAGUGAAUCAGAGGAGGUUAGCUCCGUGGUAUAACUCAGUGAUCUGCAGCCUAAAGCAAAGGACUAGACAACUAGAAAGACAGUGGCGUUCCAACAAAAUAAAUGUAAACUGCAUUGCAUGGAAGGACAGACUAAUGAAAUAUAAAAAAGCACUUUGUGCUGCUAGAAAAACAUAUUAUUCCUCCCUAAUUGAGGAAAACAAAAACAACCCCAGGUUUCUUUUCAGCACUGUAGCCAGGCUGACAAAGAGUCAUAGCUGUAUUGAGUCUACUAUCCCCUUAAAUCUCAACAGCAAUGACUUUAUGAACUACUUUACUAAUAAAAUUAUCAUCAUUAGAAAAAACAUUCAGCAGCGACUUCUUCCAAAUGACAGAAAGCACCUAGACAGCUUCUUCCCCAUAACUCAUAUGGAGUUAACCUCAAUAAUUAACUCUUCUAAGUCGUCCACUUGUCUUUUAGAUCCAAUCCCAACCAGAUUACUCAAAGAAGUUCUACCUUUAAUCAGCUCGUCCAUAUUAAAUCAAAUCAACCAAUCUUUACAACUAGGCUAUGCACCACAGGCUUUUAAGGUGGCUGUGGUCAAACCUCUAUUGAAAAAAACAACCCUUGACCCUGGACAACUAGCCAACUAUAGGCCCAUUUCAAAUUUACCCUUUAUUUCCAAGAUUCUGGAAAAAAUCGUGGCUAAACAAUUAUCUGACCACCUGAGUAACCUGUACGAAGAUUUUCAGUCAGGAUUUAGAAAACAUCAUAGCACAGAAACAGCUCUGGUUAGAGUCACUAAUGAUCUUCUAUUAGUUUCUGUCCUUGUCCUGUUAGAUCUUAGUGCUGCAUUUGAUACAAUUGAUCAUAACAUUCUAUUACAGACACUAGAACAUAGAAUGGGGAUUAAAGAAACA
This 1047-nucleotide long non-coding RNA is filed under the name Betta splendens (Siamese fighting fish). Its description in RNAcentral is "lncRNA (ENSBSLG00000006402.1)". The record is from RNAcentral. Lineage: Eukaryota; Metazoa; Chordata; Actinopteri; Anabantiformes; Osphronemidae.